Molecule: ribosomal RNA, 406 nt
Filed under: uncultured bacterium
Lineage: Bacteria
Description: partial 16S ribosomal RNA
Rfam family: Bacterial small subunit ribosomal RNA
Source: RNAcentral
AUUGAACGCUGGCGGCAGGCCUAACACAUGCAAGUCGAACGAGUGGCGGACGGGUGAGUAAUGUCUGGGAAACUGCCUGAUGGAGGGGGAUCACUACUGGAAACGGUAGCUAAUACCGCAUACCCUCAGUUGUGCCCAGAUGGGAUUAGCUGGUUGGUGGGGUAACGGCUCACCAAGGCGACGAUCCCUAGCUGGUCUGAGAGGAUGACCAGCAACAUUGGAACGGAGACACGGCCCAGACUCCUACGGGAGGCAGAAGGGGGGAAUAUUGCACAAUGGGCGAAAGCCUGAUGCAGCAAUGCCGCGUGGAUGAAGAAGGCUUUCGGGUUGUAAAGUACUUUCAGCGGGGAGGCGUUACCCGCAGAGGAAGCACCGGCUAACUCCGUGCCAGCAGCCGCGGUAAUUC